RNAcentral lists this transfer RNA (71 nucleotides) under Loxodonta africana (African savanna elephant). It matches the Rfam family "tRNA". From Rfam's summary of the family: Transfer RNA (tRNA) molecules are approximately 80 nucleotides in length. The record is from Rfam by way of RNAcentral. Lineage: Eukaryota; Metazoa; Chordata; Mammalia; Proboscidea; Elephantidae.
GCAUCGGUGGUUCAGUGGCAGAGUUCUUGCCUUCUGUGCAGGAGACCAGGGUUCGAUUCCCAGCCAGUGCA